GCGGAGAAACUCGGACAACAGAUGAGUCCCAACCUUUGAGCUGUGGCCUCGGUUUGUCAGUAUUGUGGGGAAACCGUAAUUACCGAAGAAGCCUGGGUGCUAAAACAAGCUUUGAAGCUGCUUUAUUGUCGAACAGGAAUGAGGCUGGAUGCUGAACACACCUGUGGCAUGAAGGUGUUACCACUUCGUCCACGACAUUGUCCACGAUCGCUGAGACAUGGUCCAUGAUCGGAGAGACAUUGUUGAGGAUGAGGGAGACAUCGUCCACGAUCAGAGACGUUGUCCAUGAUCGCAGAGACCUUGUCAAAGACGAGAGAGGCGUUGUCCAUGGUCAGAGACAUUGUCCCAUGCUUCGUAGAGACCUUGCGAUAGAAUCGGCGGAGACGGGGGUCACCGAUUCGAAGGCAUUGCCCGCGAUCAGGGACAUUGUCGAUGAUCACAGAGACACCGUCUAUGAUCUCAGAGACAUCGUCCACGAUCACAGACACAGUCCAUGAUCGCAGAGACUUUGUCCAUAAUCUCAGAGACAUUGUCCGCGAUCACAGAGACGUAGUCCACGAUCACAGAGUCUUCGUACAACGGGGAAGCUCUUAAAGACCAGGACAGAGGACUCCAGGUGUUACCACUUCGUCCACGACAUUGUCCACGAUCGCUGAGACAUGGUCCAUGAUCGGAGAGACAUUGUUGAGGAUGAGGGAGACAUCGUCCACGAUCAGAGACGUUGUCCAUGAUCGCAGAGACCUUGUCAAAGACGAGAGAGGCGUUGUCCAUGGUCAGAGACAUUGUCCCAUGCUUCGUAGAGACCUUGCGAUAGAAUCGGCGGAGACGGGGGUCACCGAUUCGAAGGCAUUGCCCGCGAUCAGGGACAUUGUCGAUGAUCACAGAGACACUGUCUAUGAUCUCAGAGACAUCGUCCACGAUCACAGACACAGUCCAUGAUCGCAGAGACUUUGUCCAUAAUCUCAGAGACAUUGUCCGCGAUCACAGAGACGUAGUCCACGAUCACAGAGUCUUCGUACAACGGGGAAGCUCUUAAAGACCAGGACAGAGGACUCCAGGUGUUACCACUUCGUCCACGACAUUGUCCACGAUCGCUGAGACAUGGUCCAUGAUCGGAGAGACAUUGUUGAGGAUGAGGGAGACAUCGUCCACGAUCAGAGACGUUGUCCAUGAUCGCAGAGACCUUGUCAAAGACGAGAGAGGCGUUGUCCAUGGUCAGAGACAUUGUCCCAUGCUUCGUAGAGACCUUGCGAUAGAAUCGGCGGAGACGGGGGUCACCGAUUCGAAGGCAUUGCCCGCGAUCAGGGACAUUGUUGAUGAUCACAGAGACACCGUCUAUGAUCUCAGAGACAUCGUCCACGAUCACAGACACAGUCCAUGAUCGCAGAGACUUUGUCCAUAAUCUCAGAGACAUUGUCCGCGAUCACAGAGACGUAGUCCACGAUCACAGAGUCUUCGUACAACGGGGAAGCUCUUAAAGACCAGGACAGAGGACUCCAGGUGUCACCACUUCGUCCACGACAUCAUCCAUGAUCGCUGAGACAUGGUCCAUGAUUGGAGAGACAUUGUUGAGGAUGAGGGAGACAUCGUCCACGAUCAGAGACGUUGUCCAUGAUCGCAGAGACCUUGUCAAAGACGAGAGAGGCGUUGUCCAUGAUCAGAGACAUUGUCCCUUGCUUCGUAGAGACCUUGCGAUAGAAUCGGCGGAGACGGGGGUCACCGAUUCGAAGGCAUUGCCCGCGAUCAGGGACAUUGUCGAUGAUCACAGAGACACCGUCUAUGAUCUCAGAGACAUCGUCCACGAUCACAGACACAGUCCAUGAUCGCAGAGACUUUGUCCAUAAUCUCAGAGACAUUGUCCGCGAUCACAGAGACGUAGUCCACGAUCACAGAGUCUUCGUACAACGGGGAAGCUCUUAAAGACCAGGACAGAGGACUCCAGGUGUUACCACUUCGUCCACGACAUUGUCCACGAUCGCUGAGACAUGGUCCAUGAUCGGAGAGACAUUGUUGAGGAUGAGGGAGACAUCGUCCACAAUCAGAGACGUUGUCCAUGAUCGCAGAGACCUUGUCAAAG
Long non-coding RNA from Lates calcarifer (barramundi perch), 2077 nucleotides. RefSeq lists it as uncharacterized. The record is from RefSeq and is a predicted model, not a curated record. Lineage: Eukaryota; Metazoa; Chordata; Actinopteri; Centropomidae. The transcript has 6 exons.